CAUUGAGGACCAGGCUGGCGUCCUAGAUGAUGCCAAUGUCCAGCACAUCUUGAAGCGCCAUACGUCCUCCGGUAACACCAAGGGCAGCAGCAGGAGCGCAUCGGGAGGCUCUGGAGCCAACAGUGCAGGUAGCAUGGGUGCAGAUGAGCCCAAGAUGGAUAAGGACGGAAACAGAAAUUAGGUCUGCUGCUUCAGACAGGUAUGCAGGAAAACGUGCCAUCGUUCAGUGAAGCCACAUAAGACAAGGAGCCAGUGCAACAGAGUAGUCCUCAUUGCAGAUCUUCCUUCUUGGCACCUCAAGCCAGAAUGCAGAAUCCCAGUUUGAUCUAAAAAUCAGUUCCUUUGGACCCCACCCACCAACAUAUCUGAGGACCUUGAUGCUUAUGGAUUCGGUUCAGCUCCAGGUUUUUAGGGAGGGGGAUUGGGGGUUGGGCAGGAAGUCUUGAUUUCAUGCACAAGUCCACUCUGCCCCCCAUCCCAAAAGUCUCUGGAAGGGGUUGAAUUGGAGCCCAUUUCAGGGAAAGAACAUGCAUAGCCAUAACCACAUAACUUGAACCUACACAUUACAAUAGUGGUGGAAAAAGGAGCUUAACAGAAUCUGUAUGACAUCAAGCAAUCUACACACUCCUUACUGUACAAUCCUACAUAGGAAACUAUCCUUAAUAUAACUGCAAAUAAUGAAACAUUCUUUGUUUUAAUUUCUGUUGUGUAACCAAUGAUCAAAGUAUUGAUUGAUUGAUUGAUUGAUUACCAGAAUGAUGGAAAAGGCUAUUAAUAACUUUGAUGUUUUCAUUUCUUUUCGGCCUUGGCACUCUUUGCUAUAAUCACAUAUAACACAAGUGUAAUGCAAUUUCUAAAGUAUAAGCAAUCUAAAGUAUGAUUUCUAAUGUAUAAGCAAAGUAAUUUAAUUUCUAAAGUAUAAGCAAUCUAUUGUGGCAAGAGGAGAAAAUCUUAAAAAAAACUUCGAUUGAUGUUUUGUUUUCACAUAAUUAAUAAAGAGGGCAUUGCACGGCA
Podarcis muralis (Common wall lizard) is the source of this 1014-nucleotide non-coding RNA. NCBI's taxonomy places the organism in Eukaryota, Metazoa, Chordata, Lepidosauria, Squamata, Lacertidae. The record is from RefSeq and is a predicted model, not a curated record.